This 407-nucleotide ribosomal RNA is filed under the name uncultured bacterium. RNAcentral's name for it is "partial 16S ribosomal RNA". It matches the Rfam family "Bacterial small subunit ribosomal RNA", at positions 30 to 526 of the family's 1533-position model. The record is from RNAcentral.
AUUGCACGCUGGCGGCAGGCCUACCACAUGCACGUCGAGCGGAGCGGCGGACGGGUGAGGAAUGCCUAUGAAUCGGCCUGGUAGUGGGGGAUAACGUCCGGAAACGGGCGCUAAUACCGCAUACUCUCAGCUGAGCCUAGGUCGGAUUAGCUAGUUGGGGGGGUAAAGGCCUACCAAGGCGACGAUCCGUAACUGGUAUGAGAGGAUGAGCAGUCACACUGGAAGUGCGACACGGUCCAGCCUCCUACGUGAGGGAGCAGUGGGGAAUAUUGGACAAUGGGCGAAAGCCUGAUGCAGCCAUGCCGCGUGUGUGAAGAAGGUCUUCGGAUUGUAAAGCACUUUAAGUUGGGAGGCGUUACCAACAGAAUAAGCACCGGCGAACUACGGGCCAGCAGCCGCGGUAAUAC